Molecule: long non-coding RNA, 325 nt
Organism: Rana temporaria (common frog)
Lineage: Eukaryota; Metazoa; Chordata; Amphibia; Anura; Ranidae
Exons: 3
Source: RefSeq, a predicted model, not a curated record
AAGAAUCUGUGAUUGCUGGAAGGUCGGUCCCCAUCAGGUAUAUAAGUGUCUCCUCACCUUCAGGAGAUACAGAACUUCUCUCAUAUCCAUCAGGUCUUCCUGGACUCUGAAGAUGAAGCUCCUCCUUUCUUUCUUUCUCCUCUCCGCGGUCUCAGCAGACAAAAUCUGUGAACAGAAUUGUCCUGGAGAAUGUUGUCUGAGGGACGUCGUCUCCCUCACAAACCUCAUGAAAUCUAUGGCUUCCACAGCCCUGGAGAGCAGUAAAAUUGUCUGCACUGACGUCAACCAGCGAGGAGCAUUCGCUACCUGUCCUGCAGGUAAUUAU